Molecule: ribosomal RNA, 406 nt
Filed under: uncultured bacterium
Lineage: Bacteria
Description: partial 16S ribosomal RNA
Rfam family: Bacterial small subunit ribosomal RNA
Source: RNAcentral
AUUGAACGCUGGCGGCAGGCCUAACACAUGCAAGUCGGGCGAGUGGCGGACGGGUGAGUAAUGUCUGGGCAACUGCCUGAUGGAGGGGGAUAACUACUGGAAACGGUAGCUAAUACCGCAUACCAUCUGAUGCACCCCUAUGGGAUUAGCUUGUAGGUGAGGUAAAGGCUUACCUAGGCGACGAUCCCUAGCUGGUCUGAGAGGAUGACCAGCCACACUGGAACUGAGACACGGUCCAGACUCCUACGGGAGGCAGCAGUGGGGAAUAUUGCACAAUGGGCGCAAGCCUGAUGCAGCCAUGCCGCGUGUAUGAAGAAGGCCUUCGGGGUGUAAAGUACUUUCAGCGGGGAGGCGUUACCGGCAGAAGAAGCACCGGCUAACUCCGUGCCAGCAGCCGCGGUAAUAC